This 303-nucleotide ribosomal RNA is filed under the name uncultured bacterium. RNAcentral's name for it is "partial 16S ribosomal RNA". It matches the Rfam family "Bacterial small subunit ribosomal RNA", at positions 507 to 807 of the family's 1533-position model. The record is from RNAcentral.
AGCAGUCGCCGCGGUAAUACGGAGGGUGCAAGCGUUAAUCGGAAUUACUGGGCGUAAAGCGCACGCAGGCGGCUUUGUAAGUUAGAGGUGAAAGCCUGGAGCUCAACUCCAGAAUUGCCUUUAAGACUGCAUCGCUUGAAUCCAGGAGAGGUGAGUGGAAUUCCGAGUGUAGAGGUGAAAUUCGUAGAUAUUCGGAAGAACACCAGUGGCGAAGGCGGCUCACUGGACUGGUAUUGACGCUGAGGUGCGAAAGCGUGGGGAGCAAACAGGAUUAGAUACCCCCGUAGUCCCUGUCUCUUAUAC